RNA transcript from Hippocampus zosterae (dwarf seahorse), 1642 nucleotides. RefSeq lists it as uncharacterized. The record is from RefSeq and is a predicted model, not a curated record. The transcript has 2 exons. NCBI's taxonomy places the organism in Eukaryota, Metazoa, Chordata, Actinopteri, Syngnathiformes, Syngnathidae.
UAAUUCCACACCCGGACCGCACGUGUGUGACAAGAGAAAGAGUUCGGCACUUUGCCAAGCUUUUGCUGCGUCUUGGGCGCUUGUCGCGGACGCCGACUCCGACGUUAGGGGCGGGGAGCUUCUUUCGGCUGCCGGUGUGGCUGUUCGCGCAGCUCCGGUGUUGUGUGGCGUUGGUCAACCUCGGCGAGCUCCCCGCGGCGCCGGCUCGUUUCCUCGCCUUGCACAACGCGCUCCCCGCCGCCCCGGAGAGCCUCGCCGCCGCCUUGGCGCUCGGCAACCCCCCGUGCGCUGGAGGCUCGCUGUGGGAAGUCGGCGUGCCAGACUCUCCGAGUGGCCGGAGACAGAAGCGCCAAAAGCCGCGAGUUUUGUUCAUGAGGGUGCUUCGCAUGUACAGGCCGGACUUGGCUCUGCUGCUCGGAGGGUUAUGCCUUCUCACCAUGGCUGCCGCCUGCAAAUUGCACAGUUUCGCCAUGAGGAUGAGGAUAAAAGAAGGGUCCGAAAUUAAUGCGGCAGAUGAAACAUACUUAUCACGUGUACGCCUAAAUGCCUUUCGGAAUCAAAAAGCUGCCCAUUUUCAAGAGAAAAAAAGUCAUUCCUAUUUUCUUUCGUGAGAAGUUGGUGGUUUAUUGGGGGGGGGGGUUUCUAUGCCCAUUGUGUAGGUAAACCACUUUGCAAAUAAAAAAUAAAACGUUCAACACAAACCAUUUGCGGACCCUUCUGACAACCCAAGUUCAAGAACUUCUGGUCAAGUGUCCGCCCAUCUUGUUUUUGUUUGCGCAGCGCUCUGGGCGGCGGCAGCCGAGGGCGUCUCCUUAUGGGGGCCAUUAGCUCCUUCAAGUGCAGAGUGAAGGCAAAGUUCUUACAUACUCAGACCAACCAGGACGGAGACGUCGGUUUUCGACACCGCAAAGAUAGGUAAUGCAGAGAGCGUGGUACAAAAAUAGUGCACAGCAAACAAGUGGUGAAUCUCUCAUGGAUGCAAACAUGUUUAGUGCUCUUGGAGGUCCCCGUCAUGGGCCUCAUCCAGACCAUCUCCAACAAACAGCACCGGUUGGCUAGUCGAGUGGUCUUCAAAUAAAGCCACCCCAAAUCGAUGACUCGCCCAAGCCCACGAAUGACGCAACCUUGCGUUUGCAGCAGUUGACUCCAUGACCGCGGCAAACGAGGCGGCUCACGAGAUCAUCCUGGCCGUUCGGACGGUGCGGAGCUUCAACGCUGAGAAACACGAGGCCCGUCACGAUGACGACCGGCUGAUGGACACGCACAGGGUCAAGACCCGGCGCGACACUGUCAGGAUCAUGUCCCUUCUGGGUAAGAAGCCGUUCAAACUAUUUUGGCAACAUUGGAUUUGGGGCCCUCAAUUUCUGCCAAUAAUAAUAACAAGAAGAAGAAGAAUAGUUUUGUGUGUGUCUUUUAGAGGUGAGAUCGGGCCUAAAAAAUCUAGUCCGACCCGACCCGAGUUCGACCAAUUAACUUGAUUUGCAGGCCCGAGCCCGAAGCAAACCCGAAGUUUCAUAUUUUAUUUGUGAGGACUCGGGAGGAGGAGGGGUGAUUUAUGAUAACAAAUUAAAGCCUGUCUUUUGGAACGCAAUCCAACUUAAACAAGACUGUAUAAAUAUUUACAUCUAUUAUAUUUCUGUUU